RNAcentral lists this ribosomal RNA (253 nucleotides) under uncultured bacterium. RNAcentral describes it as "partial 16S ribosomal RNA". It matches the Rfam family "Bacterial small subunit ribosomal RNA", at positions 524 to 776 of the family's 1533-position model. The record is from RNAcentral.
UACAGAGGGUGCGAACGUUGUUCGGAAUUACUGGGCAUAAAGAGCGCGCAGGCGGUCGUUCAAGUCGAGUGUGAAAGCCCCCGGCUCAACUGGGGAGGGUCAUUCGAUACUGAUCGACUGGAAGGCAGGAGAGGGAAGUGGAAUUCCCGGUGUAGUGGUGAAAUGCGUAGAUAUCGGGAGGAACACCAGUGGCGAAGGCGACUUCCUGGCCUGUUCUUGACGCUGAGGCGCGAAAGCUAGGGGAGCAAACAGG